This is a long non-coding RNA of Triticum aestivum (bread wheat), 703 nucleotides long. RefSeq lists it as uncharacterized. The transcript is spliced from 3 exons. Lineage: Eukaryota; Viridiplantae; Streptophyta; Magnoliopsida; Poales; Poaceae. The record is from RefSeq and is a predicted model, not a curated record.
ACCACUUCCCGAUCCAAAUCCUCGCUGACUCGGCUUGGAUCUCGUCCCUCUCGCAAGGGAACUACUAUAUAAAUAAUCCCCUUGCUCUUCUCUGCCGAUUUUUGGCAAAAUCCAUCGCUCCCGUGCCCUAGAACUCGCCGCUGGAUCUCACCGGAGUUCCACGCUGCAGAAGCUUUCCGCCGGUCGAUCCCGUCGCGUCGGAAGGGGAGCACCAAAUCGGGCACAUCAAGCUCGACCCAAAGCUCAACUCUGUCGUCCGCAUCACCACCGAGCCGCCCGUGGCCAUCGUCUUCAAGUCCGACCGCCCAGACUCUGUUCUCCGGUGAGCACAUCUCCCGCUCCGUGCGAUCUUGUUUCAACCGCCCAGACUAAGUGUUUUUUUUUUCUGUGAACCGGUAUACACUAAGUAGCGGCUGUCCGUUACAUAGGCCAUUACAGCAAACACCCUACGGCCACUCACACCAUGCCACUUGGCACAUCCACAGCCGCAACAGUUCUUCGAAGAAAUCUAUUUUGACACAUUGGCAGAUUCCAUAUCAAAUGUUCAUUUAGCAUGUUGUUCGCGCACGAACACGUCUUAUGUACCUCCAACGCCGAGGGUGAUGCACCGCAGCUCACGCUGAAGAAGACCCAUCCGUAAGCGCGGUACGCAAGCAAUUCGGCGGGCGCUUUUGAGCACCCGAAACCCCACGCGCCCGGGAGG